AACUUUCAGCAACGGAUCUCUUGGCUCUCGCAUCGAUGAAGAACCGCCAAGCGAAGCGAUAAGUAAUGUGAAUUGCAGAAUUCAGUGAAUCAUCGAAUCUUUGAACGCACCUUGCACUCCUUGGUAUUCCGAGGAGUAUGCCUGUUUGAGUCUCAUG
RNAcentral lists this ribosomal RNA (157 nucleotides) under Basidiomycota sp. 99028. RNAcentral describes it as "5.8S ribosomal RNA". It matches the Rfam family "5.8S ribosomal RNA". From Rfam's summary of the family: 5.8S ribosomal RNA (5.8S rRNA) is a component of the large subunit of the eukaryotic ribosome. It is transcribed by RNA polymerase I as part of the 45S precursor that also contains 18S and 28S rRNA. The record is from RNAcentral. Lineage: Eukaryota; Fungi; Basidiomycota.